AAAAUAUGGUGAGGGAAUCUCUAGAGCAUUUCCUUAAAUCUAUCCCAACUCUCAUCAAUCGAUUCUUCUUCAAUGUAGGUAAAAGAAGUGAUGUCAUUUCUAAGUUU
This is a small nucleolar RNA of Dendrobium catenatum, 107 nucleotides long. The record is from RefSeq and is a predicted model, not a curated record. NCBI's taxonomy places the organism in Eukaryota, Viridiplantae, Streptophyta, Magnoliopsida, Asparagales, Orchidaceae.